RNAcentral lists this ribosomal RNA (440 nucleotides) under uncultured bacterium. RNAcentral's name for it is "bacterial SSU rRNA". It matches the Rfam family "Bacterial small subunit ribosomal RNA", at positions 338 to 792 of the family's 1533-position model. The record is from RNAcentral.
CCUACGGGUGGCAGCAGUGGGGAAUUUUUGGCAAUGGGCGAAAGCCUGACCAAGCAACGCCGCGUGGGUGAUGAAGUAUCUUGGUACGUAAAACCCUUUCGGCAGGGACGAACCUAAUGACGGUACCUGCGGAAGAAGCCCCGGCUAACUCCGUGCCAGCAGCCGCGGUAAUACGGGGGGGGCAAGCGUUGUUCGGAAUUACUGGGCGUAAAGGGCGCGUAGGCGGUUGGAUAAGUCAGCUGUGAAAACCACGGGCUUAACUCGUGGCCUGCAGUUGAGACUGUCUGGCUUGAGUGUGGGAGAGGAGAGUGGAAUUCCUGGUGUAGCGGUGAAAUGCGUAGAUAUCAGGAGGAACACCGGUGGCGAAGGCGGCUCUCUGGACCACAACUGACGCUGAGGCGCGAAAGCUAGGGGAGCAAACAGGAUUAGAUACCCCGGUA